AGGACGAACGCUGGCGGCGUGCUUAACACAUGCAAGUCGAGCGGUAAGGCUCCUUCGGGAGUACACGAGCGGCGAACGGGUGAGUAACACGUGAGUAACCUGCCCUUCUCAUCGGAAUAAGCGUUGGAAACGACGUCUAAUGCCGAAUAUGACUUCGGAAGGCAUCUUCUGAAGUGGAAAGCUCCGGCGGAGAAGGAUGGACUCGCGGCCUAUCAGCUAGUUGGUGAGGUAACGGCCCACCAAGGCGACGACGGGUAGCCGGCCUGAGAGGGUGACCGGCCACACUGGGACUGAGACACGGCCCAGACUCCUACGGGAGGCAGCAGUGGGGAAUAUUGGACAAUGGGCGAAAGCCUGAUCCAGCAACGCCGCGUGAGGGAUGACGGCCUUCGGGUUGUAAACCUCUUCAGUAGGACGAAGCGAAGUGACGGUACCUACAGAAGAAGGACCGGCCAACUACGUGCCAGCAGCCGC
This 474-nucleotide ribosomal RNA is filed under the name uncultured bacterium. RNAcentral describes it as "SSU rRNA". It matches the Rfam family "Bacterial small subunit ribosomal RNA", at positions 26 to 518 of the family's 1533-position model. The record is from RNAcentral.